GCGGGGACCACGAGCACUGCCAUCUAUGCCAAGUCAGGAGACAGCAGAGGAGAUUCCUGCUCCAAAGAGUAGGAAAAAGAAGGCCAAGAGGGAUGUGGAGAGUGUGGAUGAACCUGACGAUGGUGGAAUGGAAAUGGGAGGGCUUACCAGUCGCAGACAAUCCGAAUGUCAGGAACCUUUGACCCCAGAACCCAUGGACAAUCCGCCACAAAGGAGGAAAAAGAAGAAGAAAGCACAAGCA
Long non-coding RNA from Sinocyclocheilus rhinocerous, 241 nucleotides. RefSeq lists it as uncharacterized. NCBI's taxonomy places the organism in Eukaryota, Metazoa, Chordata, Actinopteri, Cypriniformes, Cyprinidae. The transcript has 4 exons. The record is from RefSeq and is a predicted model, not a curated record.